AUUGAACGCUGGCGGCAUGCCUUACACAUGCAAGUCGAACGGCAGCACGGGAGCAAUCCUGGUGGCGAGUGGCGAACGGGUGAGUAAUAUAUCGGAACGUGCCCAGUCGUGGGGAUAACGUAGCGAAAGCUACGCUAAUACCGCAUACGAUCUAUGGAUGAAAGCGGGGGAUCGCAAGACCUCGCGCGAUUGGAGCGGCCGAUAUCAGAUUAGGUAGUUGGUGAGGUAAAGGCUCACCAAGCCGACGAUCUGUAGCUGGUCUGAGAGGACGACCAGCCACACUGGGACUGAGACACGGCCCAGACUCCUACGGAGGCAGCAGUGGGGAAUUUUUGGGACAAUGGGCGCAAGCCUGAUCCAGCAAUGCCGCGUGCAGGAUGAA
RNAcentral lists this ribosomal RNA (382 nucleotides) under uncultured bacterium. RNAcentral describes it as "bacterial SSU rRNA". It matches the Rfam family "Bacterial small subunit ribosomal RNA", at positions 30 to 412 of the family's 1533-position model. The record is from RNAcentral.